This 363-nucleotide ribosomal RNA is filed under the name uncultured bacterium. RNAcentral's name for it is "SSU rRNA". It matches the Rfam family "Bacterial small subunit ribosomal RNA", at positions 195 to 553 of the family's 1533-position model. The record is from RNAcentral.
GGGGAUCGAAAGACCUUGCGCUUUUGGAGCGGCCGAUGUCUGAUUAGCUAGUUGGUGGGGUAAGGGCCUACCAAGGCGACGAUCAGUAGUUGGUCUGAGAGGACGACCAGCCACACUGGGACUGAGACACGGCCCAGACUCCUACGGGAGGCAGCAGUGGGGAAUUUUGGACAAUGGGCGCAAGCCUGAUCCAGCAAUGCCGCGUGAGUGAAGAAGGCCUUCGGGUUGUAAAGCUCUUUCAGUCGAGAAGAAAAGGCUGCAGUGAAUAACUGUAGUUUAUGACGGUAUCGACAGAAGAAGCACCGGCUAACUACGUGCCAGCAGCCGCGGUAAUACGUAGGGUGCGAGCGUUAAUCGGAAUUA